UACAGAGGGUGCGAGCGUUGUCCGGAAUCACUGGGCGUAAAGGGCGCGUAGGUGGUGGCUUAAGCGUGCGGUGAAAGCUCGGAGCUCAACUCCGAGUCGGCCGUGCGAACUGGGCUCACUGGAGCAUAGUAGAGGCAGGUGGAAUUCCGGGUGUAGCGGUGGAAUGCGUAGAGAUCCGGAAGAACACCGGUGGCGAAGGCGGCCUGCUGGGCUAUGGCUGACGCUGAGGUGCGAAAGCGUGGGGAGCAAACAGG
RNAcentral lists this ribosomal RNA (254 nucleotides) under uncultured bacterium. RNAcentral describes it as "partial 16S ribosomal RNA". It matches the Rfam family "Bacterial small subunit ribosomal RNA", at positions 524 to 776 of the family's 1533-position model. The record is from RNAcentral.